This 70-nucleotide transfer RNA is filed under the name Eucidaris tribuloides. Its description in RNAcentral is "tRNA-Val". The record is from RNAcentral. Lineage: Eukaryota; Metazoa; Echinodermata; Echinoidea; Cidaroida; Cidaridae.
UCAAGAUAAUCUGAAUUGCACAGAUGUCAACUCCGUGUAAAAGAGGGGCUUCCUAACUAGCUAUAUCUUG